RNAcentral lists this ribosomal RNA (693 nucleotides) under uncultured eukaryote. Its description in RNAcentral is "partial Eukaryotic large subunit ribosomal RNA". It matches the Rfam family "Eukaryotic large subunit ribosomal RNA", at positions 1455 to 2141 of the family's 3401-position model. The record is from RNAcentral.
UGGUAGUAGCAAAUAUUCAAAUGAGAACUUUGAAGACUGAAGUGGAGAAAGGUUCCACGUGAACAGCAAUUGGACGUGGGUUAGUCGAUCCUAAGAGAUAGGAGAAAUCUGUUGUAAGGUCUGGCUAUCUUCGGAAAGCCGCUUCUAUCGAAAGGGAAUCGGGUUAAUAUUCCCGAACCAGGACGUGGAUAUUGAGUGGUAACACAAGCGAAGCUGGGGACGGCGGCGGGAGCCCCGACAAGAGUUUUCUGUUCUUGUUAACAAGUGCACCGACCCUGGAAUCGGAUUGACCGGAGAUAGGGUUGGAGGCUUGGGAAAGGCGGUUAGUUUUGGACCGUUUCGGUGCGCUCUCGACGUUCCGUGAAAACCCAGCGGCGUGACUUAUUCGCACCCCUGGUCGUACUCAUCACCGCAUCAGGUCUCCAAGGUUAGCAGCCUCUAGUCGAUAGAAGAAUGUAGAUAAGGGAAGUCGGCAAACUAGAUCCGUAACUUCGGGAAAAGGAUUGGCUCUGAGGGUUGGGUAUAGGGGUCCUUGUUCUGAUGUUCGAGCUGAGCAGAAGCUACUUGACGCCUUCUGGUGGAUAGUGGAUUCGCGCAUGGCGAGAAUUGCCGGACAAGGAACGCCUCUUGGGGCUUUCCCUGUGCAGUGAACAACCAACUCAGAACUGGAGCGGACAAGGGGAAUCCGACUGU